AUCAAACGUGCGCACAAAUGGCCCAGAUUGCACGCGUGCAGACGGUCCAGAUUUGAUCACGCACGGAUGGUCCAGAUCGCAUCGCGAUGGACGGUCCAGAUUCAUUUCUAAUUUACACCACUGUGACCACCGUCCUUUCCUCUACAGGUUGACCAGAGCAAAAUACCAAACCGCGACUCGCGCCGGAGGAGCUGCCGCACCUGAGAGCUCCGCCGCCAGUAAGUCUCAGUUUUCUGGAUUUUUUUGGCCCACCGAGGGCCCUAGGGGUGUUUUAUCACGAGAAUCAAUGCAAAUUUGGCCGAAUACGGCCAGAAACUGCCAACUCGAGGCAGAUCGUCGUCGGAGCACUGUGGAGCCGCUGUGCUGGAAUUUUAAAAUU
This 379-nucleotide long non-coding RNA is filed under the name Carica papaya (papaya). RNAcentral's name for it is "long non-coding RNA (CPAP_LNC003310)". Lineage: Eukaryota; Viridiplantae; Streptophyta; Magnoliopsida; Brassicales; Caricaceae. The record is from RNAcentral.